This 474-nucleotide ribosomal RNA is filed under the name Salmonella enterica subsp. enterica serovar Infantis. Its description in RNAcentral is "bacterial SSU rRNA". It matches the Rfam family "Bacterial small subunit ribosomal RNA", at positions 1 to 473 of the family's 1533-position model. Lineage: Bacteria; Pseudomonadati; Pseudomonadota; Gammaproteobacteria; Enterobacterales; Enterobacteriaceae. The record is from RNAcentral.
AAAUUGAAGAGUUUGAUCAUGGCUCAGAUUGAACGCUGGCGGCAGGCCUAACACAUGCAAGUCGAACGGUAGCACAGAGAGCUUGCUCUCGGGUGACGAGUGGCGGACGGGUGAGUAAUGUCUGGGAAACUGCCUGAUGGAGGGGGAUAACUACUGGAAACGGUGGCUAAUACCGCAUAACGUCGCAAGACCAAAGAGGGGAACCUUCGGGCCUCUUGCCAUCAGAUGUGCCCAGAUGGGAUUAGCUUGUUGGUGAGGUAACGGCUCACCAAGGCGACGAUCCCUAGCUGGUCUGAGAGGAUGACCAGCCACACUGGAACUGAGACACGGUCCAGACUCCUACGGGAGGCAGCAGUGGGGAAUAUUGCACAAUGGGCGCAAGCCUGAUGCAGCCAUGCCGCGUGUAUGAAGAAGGCCUUCGGGUUGUAAAGUACUUUCAGCGGGGAGGAAGGUGUUGUGGUUAAUAACCGCAGC